UACGUAGGGGGGCAAGCGUUGUCCGGAUUUAUUGGGCGUAAAGAGCGUGUAGGCGGUUCGGUAAGUCUGUCGUGAAAUCCUGAGGCUCAACCUUGGACGUGCGAUGGAUACUGCCGGGCUAGAGGAUGGUAGAGGCGAGUGGAAUUCCCGGUGUAGCGGUGAAAUGCGCAGAUAUCGGGAGGAAUACCGGUGGCGAAAGCGACUCUCUGGACGGCAACUGACGCUGAGGCACGAAAGCGUGGGGAGCAAACAGG
RNAcentral lists this ribosomal RNA (254 nucleotides) under uncultured bacterium. Its description in RNAcentral is "partial 16S ribosomal RNA". It matches the Rfam family "Bacterial small subunit ribosomal RNA", at positions 524 to 776 of the family's 1533-position model. The record is from RNAcentral.